UUAACUCGACUUUGUUUGGAGCUGUAACGUUUACCUACGUUUGCCGCUAGGGGCGCUGUUCCAACUGCAUACAAAUUCGAGUUA
Molecule: microRNA precursor, 84 nt
Filed under: Bombyx mori (domestic silkworm)
Lineage: Eukaryota; Metazoa; Arthropoda; Insecta; Lepidoptera; Bombycidae
Description: mir-2807 microRNA precursor family
Rfam family: mir-2807 microRNA precursor family
Source: Rfam by way of RNAcentral